Solanum stenotomum is the source of this 566-nucleotide long non-coding RNA. RefSeq lists it as uncharacterized. The record is from RefSeq and is a predicted model, not a curated record. The transcript has 3 exons. NCBI's taxonomy places the organism in Eukaryota, Viridiplantae, Streptophyta, Magnoliopsida, Solanales, Solanaceae.
UUGAUCCAAAUUGACCCAAUUACCCUGAUUUUAAAAAAAAAACCCUAUUCCCUAUUUUUAACCCAAUGACCCGACCCCAUCUAGGAUAACCCGGUACCAAUUAGAUAAUCUCACCCAUUUCCAUUUACCCAUGCUCUCUCUUUAGAGAUUCUCAUUUACCCCAUUAACUUCUCCUCUGAUUUUCUACAGCGAUCUUGCUCAACAAAUCGAUUUUUCGCCAACGAAAGAAAAUGUCACAAAAUAGUUAUUCGUCUCAAAGAAAAUGUUCUUGUGGUUUGGUGGUCAAAACACUGAUUUCGAGUACUACAUCUAAUUCGGGAAGAAGGUUUUUCCGAUGUCCUCGUCCGGAUUUUUCUUCAUGUGGAUAUUGGGAAUGGGAAGACCAAGCUUUUCUUGAAGUAGCUUACCUACGUAAUUUAGAGCCGUCGUUGAAAGAUGUCAAGAUGGAAAUGGAUAAUUCGAAGAUUGAAGUGGAGAAUUCGAAGAUUGAAAUGGAGAACUUGAAGAUUGUUGUGGAAAAUUUAAAGAUAAAAAUAGGUCAUUUGUCGAAAACAAUUGCUACAUUG